UGGCUCAGGACGAACGCUGGCGGCGUGCUUAACACAUGCAAGUCGAGCGAUGAAGCUCCUUCGGGAGUAGAUUAGGGCGGACGGGUGAGUAACACGUGGGUAACCUGCCUCAUAGAGGGGAAUAGCCUUUCGAAAGGAAGAUUAAUACCGCAUAUGGUAGCUUUAUCGCAUGGUAGUGCUAUUAAAGGAGUAAUCCGCUAUGAGAUGGACCCGCGUCGCAUUAGCUAGUUGGUGAGGUAACGGCUCACCAAGGCGACGAUGCGUAGCCGACCUGAGAGGGUGAUCGGCCACAUUGGGACUGAGACACGGCCCAGACUCCUACGGGAGGCAGCAGUGGGGAAUAUUGCACAAUGGGGGAAACCCUGAAUGCAGCAACGCCGCGUGAGUGAUGACGGUCUUCGGAUUGUAAAGCUCUGUCUUUAGGGACGAUAAUGACGGUACCUAAGGAGGAAGCCACGGCUAACUACGUGCCAGCCGCCGC
This 481-nucleotide ribosomal RNA is filed under the name uncultured bacterium. Its description in RNAcentral is "bacterial SSU rRNA". It matches the Rfam family "Bacterial small subunit ribosomal RNA", at positions 20 to 518 of the family's 1533-position model. The record is from RNAcentral.